AAUAGAUACCCCGGUAGUCCACGCCGUAAACGAUGAGUGCUAAGUGUUAGAGGGUUUCCGCCCUUUAGUGCUGCAGCUAACGCAUUAAGCACUCCGCCUGGGGAGUACGGUCGCAAGACUGAAACUCAAAGGAAUUGACGGGGGCCCGCACAAGCGGUGGAGCAUGUGGUUUAAUUCGAAGCAACGCGAAGAACCUUACCAGGUCUUGACAUCCCACUGACCGGUAUAGAGAUAUACCUCUCCCUUCGGGGACAGUGGUGACAGGUGGUGCAUGGUUGUCGUCAGCUCGUGUCGUGAGAUGUUGGGUUAAGUCCCGCAACGAGCGCAACCCUUGAUCUUAGUUGCCAGCAUUUAGUUGGGCACUCUAAGGUGACUGCCGGUGACAAACCGGAGGAAGGUGGGGAUGACGUCAAAUCAUCAUGCCCCUUAUGACCUGGGCUACACACGUGCUACAAUGGAUGGUACAAAGGGCUGCAAGACUGCGAAGUCAAGCCAAUCCCAUAAAACCAUUCUCAGUUCGGAUUGC
This 526-nucleotide ribosomal RNA is filed under the name uncultured bacterium. RNAcentral describes it as "bacterial SSU rRNA". It matches the Rfam family "Bacterial small subunit ribosomal RNA", at positions 777 to 1301 of the family's 1533-position model. The record is from RNAcentral.